This 21-nucleotide microRNA is filed under the name Caenorhabditis brenneri. Its description in RNAcentral is "cbn-miR-246". Its record names the gene cbn-miR-246. The record is from miRBase by way of RNAcentral. Lineage: Eukaryota; Metazoa; Nematoda; Chromadorea; Rhabditida; Rhabditidae.
UUACAUGUUCCGGGUAGGAGC